UACAGAGGAGCCAAGCGUUGUCCGGAUUGACUGGGCGUAAAGCGCACGCAGGCGGUUGCGCGCGUGGGGGGUGAAAUCUGGCCGCUUAACGGCCAGGCGCCAUCCCAUACGGCGCGACUGGAGGGCGGCAGAGGUCGAUGGAAUUGCCGGUGUAGUGGUGGAAUGCGUAGAUAUCGGGAGGAACACCAGUGGCGAAGGCGGUUGCCUGGAGCUUUGCUGACGCUGAUGCGCGAAAGCGUGGGGAGCGAUCCGG
RNAcentral lists this ribosomal RNA (253 nucleotides) under uncultured bacterium. RNAcentral describes it as "partial 16S ribosomal RNA". It matches the Rfam family "Bacterial small subunit ribosomal RNA", at positions 524 to 776 of the family's 1533-position model. The record is from RNAcentral.